AAGACAAUACUUUCAGGGAUCAUUUCUAUAGUAUGUGACUAGAGAAGUUUUCCUGAUUGUGUAGAGCACCCGAAGCCAUGAGGAGGAGCCAGAGCAUCCUCUCCUGAGUGCGAAGCCGGCUCUAGGUGUGGCUUCUGUGGCUGCCUUUUGCCGUUGAUCGCUCUUCCCUUCCUUUGGAAGGGGUAGAGGGAGAGGAUGCAGUCUGAGUGGU
Small nucleolar RNA from Suncus etruscus (white-toothed pygmy shrew), 211 nucleotides. RefSeq annotates it as small nucleolar RNA U3. The record is from RefSeq and is a predicted model, not a curated record. NCBI's taxonomy places the organism in Eukaryota, Metazoa, Chordata, Mammalia, Eulipotyphla, Soricidae. The transcript has a single exon.